Molecule: ribosomal RNA, 411 nt
Filed under: Triticum aestivum (bread wheat)
Lineage: Eukaryota; Viridiplantae; Streptophyta; Magnoliopsida; Poales; Poaceae
Description: partial small subunit ribosomal RNA
Source: RNAcentral
GGAGUUGCUGCUGCUAUCUGUCGAGAUCAAGCUGGCAUUUUUCAAGGUGCUUCGGCUCUGGUUAUCAAGGGAACCAAUGAUCCACCAACGCUCGAAGCAUUAGCAGUCAGAGAGGCUUUGGCGCUUGCCGAUGAUCUUAAUAGCCGCAGAAUACAUGUCGCUUCUGACUGCAAAGAUGUACUGAACGACAUCAAGAACAAAACACCGGCUAUCUAUGGAGCUAUUCUGCAUGAAAUCAUAGAUCAUAGUUCCACUUUUAUUUCAUGUACCUUUGUGCAUGAGUUUAGGAGCUCGAAUUUCGAGGCUCACAAUCUUGCGAAGCAUAGUUUGAAUUUGGGGGUUGGCCGCCAUGUGUGGUUAGGCAAUCCUGGUAAUCUUUCUUUUGUACCUUUGAACAUUGGCACAAGUUAA